GUAUUGUCUAAAAGAAGUUAGCAUGCCCAUUAACAAAGAUAGAAGGGGCCCUGGAGCCUAAAACAUGAAUCAAGGGUUGCCACUUAUUUUUUUUU
Molecule: non-coding RNA, 95 nt
Filed under: Mus musculus (house mouse)
Lineage: Eukaryota; Metazoa; Chordata; Mammalia; Rodentia; Muridae
Source: RNAcentral